AACGAACGCUGGCGGCAUGCCUAACACAUGCAAGUCGAACGAAUUUUCCGGCUUCGGUUGGGAAGUUAGUGGCGCACGGGUGCGUAACGCGUGGGAAUCUGCCCCUUGGUUCGGAAUAACAGUUAGAAAUGACUGCUAAUACCGGAUGAUGACUUCGGUCCAAAGAUUUAUCGCCAAGGGAUGAGCCCGCGUAGGAUUAGGUAGUUGGUGGGUAAAGGCCUACCAAGCCGACGAUCCUUAGCUGGUCUGAGAGGAUGAUCAGCCACACUGGGACUGAGACACGGCCCAGACUCCUACGGGAGGCAGCAGUGGGGAAUAUUGGACAAUGGGGGAAACCCUGAUCCAGCAAUGCCGCGUGAGUGAUGAAGGCCUUAGGGUCGUAAAG
This 385-nucleotide ribosomal RNA is filed under the name uncultured bacterium. RNAcentral describes it as "bacterial SSU rRNA". It matches the Rfam family "Bacterial small subunit ribosomal RNA", at positions 29 to 430 of the family's 1533-position model. The record is from RNAcentral.